UGCAGAAACAGAAUUGUCGUCCCGAAUUUAUUUCGGGAAGGAAAGUCCGGACAGCAUAGGGCACCGCACCAUCUAACUGAUGGGAUUUAGUUACGCGAGUAAUUGAAGACAGAAAGUGUCACAGAAAAUAACCGUCCCGAUGUAAAAAUCGGGACAAGGGUGAAAACGGGAGGUAAGAGCUCACGAAUCGUACAAGCAAUUGUAUGAUUGGAAAAACCUUGCGGGCUGAAAGGUCAAAUAAAUUCCGCUCAGAUGUUGCCCGCAUCUCGCUUGCGAAAGCAAGAGGCGGAACGGGUUGACUGCUUGAUCACGAUUGUGAAAUCGUGACCAGAUAAAUGACAAUUGAGAAACAGAAUCCGGCUUAUUAAUUUCUGCAACAA
This 380-nucleotide RNase P RNA is filed under the name Bacteroidota bacterium. RNAcentral describes it as "Bacteroidetes bacterium (aquatic metagenome) RNase P RNA component class A". It matches the Rfam family "Bacterial RNase P class A". From Rfam's summary of the family: Ribonuclease P (RNase P) is a ubiquitous endoribonuclease, found in archaea, bacteria and eukarya as well as chloroplasts and mitochondria. Its best characterised activity is the generation of mature 5'-ends of tRNAs by cleaving the 5'-leader elements of precursor-tRNAs. The record is from RNAcentral. Lineage: Bacteria; Pseudomonadati; Bacteroidota.